UGAGGGAUAUUGGUCAAUGGACGGAAGUCUGAACCAGCCAUGCCGCGUGCAGGAUGACGGCCCUAUGGGUUGUAAACUGCUUUUAUUCGGGAAUAAACCUCUUUACGAGUAGAGAGCUGAAGGUACCGAAUGAAUAAGCCCCGGCUAACUACGUGCCAGCAGCCGCGGUAAUACGUAGGGGGCAAGCGUUAUCCGGAUUCAUUGGGCGUAAAGAGCGCGUAGGCGGCUUGUUAAGCGAGAUGUGAAAACCGGGGGCUUAACCCGCGGCCUGCAUCUCGAACUGGCAGGCUUGAGUCUGGUAGAGGAGUGUGGAAUUCCCAGUGUAGCGGUGAAAUGCGCAGAUAUUGGGAGGAACACCAGUGGCGAAGGCGGCACUCUGGGCCACGACUGACGCUGAGGCGCGAAAGCUAGGGGAGCAAACA
This 422-nucleotide ribosomal RNA is filed under the name uncultured bacterium. RNAcentral describes it as "bacterial SSU rRNA". It matches the Rfam family "Bacterial small subunit ribosomal RNA", at positions 355 to 774 of the family's 1533-position model. The record is from RNAcentral.